Long non-coding RNA from Protopterus annectens (West African lungfish), 530 nucleotides. RefSeq lists it as uncharacterized. The transcript is spliced from 4 exons. The record is from RefSeq and is a predicted model, not a curated record. Lineage: Eukaryota; Metazoa; Chordata; Ceratodontiformes; Protopteridae.
UCUACCCCUGUGACUUGCCUGGGUGGACAAAAUUAAGGUUCCUCUGUUAAUCCCAACUACUGGAACAAACGUACCCUUUUCCUGCCUUACUCCCUUGGAAAGUGAACAAGAGGAAUACAAAGAACAUUAUACCCCUGAUCUACCCCUGUGACUUGCCUGGGUGGACAAAAUUAAGGUUCCUCUGUUAAUCCCAACUACUGGAACAAACGUACCCUUUUCCUGCCUUACUCCCUUGGAAAGUGAACAAGAGGAAUACAAAGAACAUUAUACCCCUGAUCUACCCCUGUGACUUGCCUGGGUGGACAAAAUUAAGGUUCCUCUGUUAAUCCCAACUACUGGAACAAACGUACCCUUUUCCUGCCUUACUCCCUUGGAAAGUGAACAAGAGGAAUACAAAGAACAUUAUACCCCUGAUCUACCCCUGUGACUUGCCUGGGUGGACAAAAUUAAGGUUCCUCUGUUAAUCCCAACUACUGGAACAAACGUACCCUUUUCCUGCCUUACUCCCUUGGAAAGUGAACAAGAGGAAU